GACGAACGCUGGCGGCGUGCUUAACACAUGCAAGUCGAACGGAAAGGCCCUGCUUUUGUGGGGUGCUCGAGUGGCGAACGGGUGAGUAACACGUGAGUAACCUGCCCUUGACUUUGGGAUAACUUCAGGAAACUGGGGCUACUACCGUAUCGGAGCUCCUGCUGCAUGGUGGGGGUUGGAAAGUUUCGGCGGGUGGGGAUGGACUCGCGGCUUAUCAGCUUGUUGGUGGGGUAGUGGCUUACCAAGGCUUUGACGGGUAGCCGGCCUGUGAGGGUGACCGGCCACAUUGGGACUGCGAGACGGACCAGACUCCUACGGGAGGCAGCAGUGGGGAAUAUUGCACAAUGGGCGGAAGCCUGAUGCAGCAACGCCGCGUGCGGGAUGACGGCCUUCGGGUUGUAAACCGCUUUCGCCUGUGACGAAGCGUGAGUGACGGUAAUGGGUAAAGAAGCACCGGCUAACUACGUG
RNAcentral lists this ribosomal RNA (468 nucleotides) under uncultured bacterium. Its description in RNAcentral is "partial 16S ribosomal RNA". It matches the Rfam family "Bacterial small subunit ribosomal RNA", at positions 28 to 507 of the family's 1533-position model. The record is from RNAcentral.